GACCUGGUGGCCUAAUAGUUAGUGGGUUGGACUCCGGAUCGAGCGGUCUGGGUUCGAGUGCUGGCCUGGGUCA
This is a non-coding RNA of Desmophyllum pertusum, 73 nucleotides long. The record is from the annotation of a GenBank genome assembly. NCBI's taxonomy places the organism in Eukaryota, Metazoa, Cnidaria, Anthozoa, Scleractinia, Caryophylliidae.